GAUGAAGAACGUAGCGAAAUGCGAUACUUGGUGUGAAUUGCAGAAUCCCGUGAACCAUCGAGUCUUUGAACGCAAGUUGCGCCCGAAGCCAUUAGGCCGAGGGCACGCCUGCCUGGGCGUCACACGUCGUUGCCCCCCCAUCUACUCCUUCGGGAUUGCGGGGGGCGGAUGAUGGCCUCCCGUGCGCCUCGUCGCGCGGUUGGCAUAAAUGCCAAGUCCUCGGCGACGCACGCCACGACAAUCGGUGGUUGCGAAACCUCGGUUGCCGUCGUGUGCGGUCGUCGCGCAUCGAGGGCUCGAAAAAAUUGCCGGGCUCCGGCUCGGCUUUCAACGCGACCCCAGGUCAGGCGGGGUUACCCGCUGAAUUUAAGCAUAUCAAUAAGCGGAGGA
This 390-nucleotide unclassified non-coding RNA is filed under the name soil metagenome. RNAcentral's name for it is "partial contains 5.8S ribosomal RNA, internal transcribed spacer 2, and large subunit ribosomal RNA". The stretch from base 1 to 122 matches the Rfam family "5.8S ribosomal RNA", at positions 35 to 154 of the family's 154-position model. The record is from RNAcentral.